ACUGAACGCUGGCGGCAUGCCUUACACAUGCAAGUCGAACGGUAACAGGUCUUCGGAUGCUGACGAGUGGCGAACGGGUGAGUAAUACAUCGGAACGUGCCUAGUAGUGGGGGAUAACUACUCGAAAGAGUGGCUAAUACCGCAUGAGAUCUACGGAUGAAAGCAGGGGAUCGCAAGACCUUGUGCUACUAGAGCGGCCGAUGGCAGAUCAGGUAGUUGGUGGGAUAAAAGCUUACCAAGCCGACGAUCUGUAGCUGGUCUGAGAGGACGAUCAGCCACACUGGGACUGAGACACGGCCCAGACUCCUACGGGAGGCAGCAGUGGGGAAUUUUGGACAAUGGGCGAAAGCCUGAUCCAGCAAUGCCGCGUGCAGGAUGAAGGCCUUCGGGUUGUAAACCGCUUUUGUACGGAACGAAAAGCCCCGGGUUAAUACCCUGGGGUCAUGACGGUACCGUAAGAAUAAGCACCGGCUAACUACGCGCCAGCCGCCGCAGUAA
This 498-nucleotide ribosomal RNA is filed under the name uncultured bacterium. RNAcentral describes it as "partial 16S ribosomal RNA". It matches the Rfam family "Bacterial small subunit ribosomal RNA", at positions 30 to 523 of the family's 1533-position model. The record is from RNAcentral.